This 440-nucleotide ribosomal RNA is filed under the name uncultured bacterium. Its description in RNAcentral is "partial 16S ribosomal RNA". It matches the Rfam family "Bacterial small subunit ribosomal RNA", at positions 338 to 795 of the family's 1533-position model. The record is from RNAcentral.
CCUACGGGGGGCAGCAGUGGGGAAUAUUGCACAAUGGGGGAAACCCUGAUGCAGCGACGCCGCGUGAGUGAAGAAGUAUCUCGGUAUGUAAAGCUCUAUCAGCAGGGAAGAAAAUGACGGUACCUGACUAAGAAGCCCCGGCUAACUACGUGCCAGCAGCCGCGGUAAUACGUAGGGGGCAAGCGUUAUCCGGAUUUACUGGGUGUAAAGGGAGCGUAGACGGCGCUGCAAGUCCGGAGUGAAAGCCCAGGGCUUAACCAUGGUACUGCUUUGGAAACUGGGGGGCUUGAGUGCGGGAGGGGCAGGCGGAAUUCCGAGUGUAGCGGUGAAAUGCGUAGAUAUUAGGAGGAACACCAGCGGCGAAGGCGGCUUGCUGGACCGUAACUGACGUUGAGGCUCGAAAGCGUGGGGAGCAAACAGGAUUAGAUACCCGGGUAGUC